RNAcentral lists this long non-coding RNA (1156 nucleotides) under Chrysolophus pictus (golden pheasant). RNAcentral's name for it is "lncRNA (ENSCPIG00010008465.1)". Lineage: Eukaryota; Metazoa; Chordata; Aves; Galliformes; Phasianidae. The record is from RNAcentral.
CCAGGUUGUUAGAACUAAAUGUAAAAGCUGAAACACAAAAUUGCUUGAGAGCUGACGAGGAGGACAGCUGCCCACUCCUACCCCAAUCACUCCAUCCCAACGCAGAACUAACACUCCUAACCCCGCAGCUAAACCAGGCUGGUGAUGUCAAGAGCAAAAAGGAUCUGACACAGGAAAUCAGAUCGGGAACCUUCACAGCAGACACAAUUUUAUGCCUUUGUUUGCAUGAAUGGCUCUGAGAAAAAGAGAGCAAAAAGAGAAACAAAAGGAAGAAAAAUACUGAAGAUUGCCAAGUCAAGGGAGGCUAACAAUGUUAGGAGAGCUGACAAUGGUGACUAAUGCAACAAAUGGAUGAUGGAGUGCUGAUACGGCUUCUCUCAGGAUCCCCAGAGACAAACCAAAUUCCCACAGGGUUGAGUUGCACCUGUGCCAAUUGCUGCCCAGCUCUCCAGGUUAAAGCAAUGAGUGCAGUCAGGUGAUUAAGAGCCAGGCUAGCUGUUCUAGAGAACUGUCCUGGAAAAGAGCUGUGAUUACCAGCAGCUGUGUGAGUGGGUGUGCUGCUUCAUUAAGCAGGUGCUGCUCUGCUGCCGAAGAGCAUUUAUAGCCAAAGCAGCAGCCCUGCUGGGAGUGCAGGCUCAGGGAAAGUUAGUGGCCUAAAAAGGAAGAGCUGUCUAAGGGCUAAGCCAUUUCUGCCACGCUGUUCUCCACAGAAGGAUGAGAAAAGACCAUGGCCUAAGAAGCUGCCCUAUGGAAUGCUGCUUGCCUCGUGGUUUCACUUCAUGCUAAGCAGAACUAAGCUGGUUCUCCUGCGGUUCCUCCCUCCCCAGGACUCUGUUUCCUCUUCACUCUUGCAUCAACACAGAUCCUUCUCUGGUAAGGAGAUGAGCUGGAUAAGAAAUGUAAACUCACCAAAAAUGAGGGUGGGAGGAAAAAGAAGGAAUGCAUUUGGGGAGUUCAAUUUCCUGCAUUAUAGUAGUAAUCUAAGUGUGUAUUUGCAGCACAGCUCUUUCACAGAUUGAAAUCCAGACAACAAUAUGAUUGUUUCUCUGGCCAUACCCACCUAAAAUUUUCUCUUGCCCAGCAGGAAGCAAAAUCUUGCUUCCAACUACCAUCUAGGCAUUAGUUAAAUAGUAACACUGAACAAAGUCUAAAAUCC